RNAcentral lists this small RNA (148 nucleotides) under Papio anubis (olive baboon). RNAcentral describes it as "Metazoan signal recognition particle RNA (ENSPANG00000048257.1)". Lineage: Eukaryota; Metazoa; Chordata; Mammalia; Primates; Cercopithecidae. The record is from Rfam by way of RNAcentral.
GCCGGGCACGGUGGCGUGUGCCUGUAAUCCCAGCUACUCGGGAGGCUGAGGCAGAAGAAUCACUUGAACCCGGGAGGCAGGUGUUGCAGUGAACCGAGAUUGCACCACUGCACUCUAGCCUGGGUGAGAGAGCAAGAUUCUGUCUCAA